Molecule: ribosomal RNA, 448 nt
Filed under: uncultured bacterium
Lineage: Bacteria
Description: bacterial SSU rRNA
Rfam family: Bacterial small subunit ribosomal RNA
Source: RNAcentral
GAUGAACGCUGGCGGCGUGCUUAACACAUGCAAGUCGAGCGAAGCACUUAGGAAAGAUUCUUCGGAGGAUUUCCUAUUUGACUGAGCGGCGGACGGGUGAGUAACGCGUGGGUAACCUGCCUCAUACAGGGGGAUAACAGUUAGAAAUGACUGCUAAUACCGCAUAAGACCACAGCACCGCAUGGUGCAGGGGUAAAAACUCCGGUGGUAUGAGAUGGACCCGCGUCUGAUUAGUUAGUUGGUGGGGUAACGGCCUACCAAGGCGACGAUCAGUAGCCGACCUGAGAGGGUGACCGGCCACAUUGGGACUGAGACACGGCCCAAACCCCUACGGGAGGCAGCAGUGGGGAAUAUUGCACAAUGGGGGAAACCCUGAUGCAGCGACGCCGCGUGAGCGAAGAAGUAUUUCGGUAUGUAAAGCUCUAUCAGCAGGGAAGAAAAUGACGGU